This 425-nucleotide long non-coding RNA is filed under the name Populus trichocarpa (black cottonwood). RNAcentral's name for it is "long non-coding RNA (PTRI_LNC003611)". The record is from RNAcentral. Lineage: Eukaryota; Viridiplantae; Streptophyta; Magnoliopsida; Malpighiales; Salicaceae.
AUGUGAAGCCAGAUAUUGGGACUGUUUCCCCUUCCAUUGAACCAGAAGAGAAAGUAUCUUCAAGCAGCCCUGCUAAUGAUGUGAAGCCAGAUAUUGGGACUGUUUCCCAUUCCAUUGAACCUGAAGAGAAAGUAUCUUCAAGCAGCCCUGCUAAUGAUGUGAAGCCAGAUAUUGGGACUGUUUCCCCUUCCAUUGGAUCUGAAGAGAAAUUAUCUUCAAGCAACCCUGCUAAUGAUGUGAAGCCAGAUAUUGGGACUGUUUCCCCUUCCAUUGGACCUGAAGAGAAAGUAUCUUUAAGCAGCCCUGCUAAUGAUGUGGAGCCAGAUAUUGGGACUGUUUCUCAUUCCAUUCAACCUGAAGAGAAAAUAGAUAUUGUUGCUGCUGAGGUGGGGAAAGGAGCUUUGAAAGUAGAUGUUGCUGAGGUG